Pterocles gutturalis (yellow-throated sandgrouse) is the source of this 46-nucleotide regulatory RNA element. It matches the Rfam family "Histone 3' UTR stem-loop". From Rfam's summary of the family: The mRNAs of metazoan histone genes lack a poly-A tail. The record is from Rfam. Lineage: Eukaryota; Metazoa; Chordata; Aves; Pterocliformes; Pteroclidae.
CCAAAGGCUCUUUUAAGAGCCACCAAUUCUUUCGUUUGAAGAGCUU